This 253-nucleotide ribosomal RNA is filed under the name uncultured bacterium. RNAcentral describes it as "partial 16S ribosomal RNA". It matches the Rfam family "Bacterial small subunit ribosomal RNA", at positions 524 to 776 of the family's 1533-position model. The record is from RNAcentral.
GACGUAGGGCGCGAGCGUUGUCCGGAUUUAUUGGGCGUAAAGAGCUCGUAGGCGGCUUGUCGCGUCGACUGUGAAAUCUCAGGGCUCAACUCUGACAUUGCAGUCGAUACGGGCAGGCUAGAGUUCGGUAGGGGAGACUGGAAUUCCUGGUGUAGCGGUGAAAUGCGCAGAUAUCAAGAGGAACACCUGAGGUGAAGACGGGUUGCUGGGCUGACACUGACGCUGAGGCGCGAAAGCUAGGGUAGCAAACGGG